UAUUGUAUAAUUGUAUUACUGAUUUUAAUACUAUUUAAUUUAUGCCAUUAUAAUUUAGUUUACCAGACGACAACGAACACAGACACGGAACGUAUAAUCUAUUCGAGGACGACGCAAGCUAUUUAAGACAGAGUUUCUCAAGAGAGAGAUGUGCCUGUCGUAACUCAAUACCCGAAACGACACAACGAAUGCGUUCACAAUACGCAAGAGCAGUCUCAACAACAACAAAGUAAUAUGGGUUUAAGUAAAAGUAUACAUUUCAUUUAUACCACUAUUGAAAUUGUAAAGAAAUCAAAAACU
Dreissena polymorpha is the source of this 300-nucleotide long non-coding RNA. RefSeq lists it as uncharacterized. The record is from RefSeq and is a predicted model, not a curated record. The transcript has 3 exons. NCBI's taxonomy places the organism in Eukaryota, Metazoa, Mollusca, Bivalvia, Myida, Dreissenidae.